Cebus imitator (Panamanian white-faced capuchin) is the source of this 115-nucleotide small nuclear RNA. RefSeq annotates it as U5 spliceosomal RNA. The transcript has a single exon. The record is from RefSeq and is a predicted model, not a curated record. NCBI's taxonomy places the organism in Eukaryota, Metazoa, Chordata, Mammalia, Primates, Cebidae.
UUUUCUGGUUUCUCUUCAGAGUGAAUAAAUCUGUUGCCUUUUAUUAAAGGUUUUCAUGAAAAGGAACAGAUGGAGUUAGUUAGCAAAUUUUUUGAAGUCCUGCUUGAGCAGGGCC